AUUGAACGCUGGCGGCAUGCCUUACACAUGCAAGUCGAACGGCAGCACGGAGCUUGCUCUGGUGGCGAGUGGCGAACGGGUGAGUAAUAUAUCGGAACGUACCCAAGAGUGGGGGAUAACGUAGCGAAAGUUACGCUAAUACCGCAUACGAUCUAAGGAUGAAAGCAGGGGAUCUUCGGACCUUGUGCUCCUGGAGCGGCCGAUAUCUGAUUAGCUAGUUAGUGAGGUAAAGGCUCACCAAGGCAUCGAUCAGUAGCUGGUCUGAGAGGACGACCAGCCACACUGGAACUGAGACACGGUCCAGACUCCUACGGGAGGCAGCAGUAGGGAAUAUUGGACAAUGGGGGCAACCCUGAUCCAGCCAUGCCGCGUGAGUGAAGAAGGCCCUCGGGUUGUAAAGCUCUUUUGUCCGGAAAGAAAAGCAAUCGGUUAAUACCCGGUUGUUCUGACGGUACCGGAAGAAUAAGCACCGGCUAACUUCGUGCCAGC
Molecule: ribosomal RNA, 489 nt
Filed under: uncultured bacterium
Lineage: Bacteria
Description: bacterial SSU rRNA
Rfam family: Bacterial small subunit ribosomal RNA
Source: RNAcentral